CUCAUUUUUUUUUAAUAUGAAAGCCUGCAGCGAGAAGGGAUUAACAUUUCCUUAGAGAAAUUGGAUCUACUUGGUAGAACAUUCUUGUACUAAUCUUUCUAGUUGACCAGAUUUUUCUAUUAAUACAGUCUGAAAAGAACAGUUGUGCUCUCAUGGUGUGUUUCUGUAUGUUGUCAAACAGCAGCUGAUACUUGAUCAAGUUAGCAGGCUUCAUAGUGCUGGGGAAACAGUUCCUUACCUUCCUCACCCCUGCCUUGGAAAGCUGUUGCCAAAAUUCCUGGACCUUUGGCUUGAUGCAGAUGACAGCAGGCCUUGGGGAUGGUGGAGCCACAAGAUGGAAGUACCUGGCCAUCAAACGGGAACACCUAUCGUUUAAUCAGUCAUGGGAGAAAUAAACAACUUCAAAGCAUCUCCAGCUUCAUUUUGUUGUAAAGUUGUUCAGAAGAAUAUAAUGCAAAAAGAAAAGUACUGGUUUAUAGGAUUUGAAGAAAGGAAAAGUAAAGGUCUGGACAACUAGAACAUCUCUAAAU
This is a long non-coding RNA of Hipposideros armiger (great roundleaf bat), 530 nucleotides long. RefSeq lists it as uncharacterized. The record is from RefSeq and is a predicted model, not a curated record. Lineage: Eukaryota; Metazoa; Chordata; Mammalia; Chiroptera; Hipposideridae. The transcript has 3 exons.